GUGAAUCAUCGAAUCUUUGAACGCACCUUGCGCUCCUGGGCUAUUCCUAGGAGCAUGCCUGUUUGAGUGUCUUGAAAUCAUCAACCCCAGUUGGAUUUUAAAUUUGACUGGUGGCUUGGACUUGGGGGCUUGCUGGCCGUUUUGAUUCGGUCUGGCUUCCCUUGAAUGCAUUAGCUUGGACUUGUUCCUAAGGCUUCAUGGCGUGAUAAUUAUCUACGCUUUGUACUGUCUGUGGAAUAUCUAUGGGUCUGGCUUCUAACUGUCCUCUGGACAAUCUUUCAAUCUUUGACCUCAAAUCAGGUAGGACUACCCGCUGAACUUAA
This 323-nucleotide ribosomal RNA is filed under the name uncultured fungus. RNAcentral's name for it is "eukaryotic LSU rRNA". The stretch from base 1 to 72 matches the Rfam family "5.8S ribosomal RNA", at positions 84 to 154 of the family's 154-position model. The record is from RNAcentral. Lineage: Eukaryota; Fungi.